CCCAAAGAGAGAGACAAUGAUCAGAACUGAGGCAGAAAGGAGACAAAGGCCAUCAAGAGAGGAUCUGGAGGGCAUGGAUAAUAACAGACAUGACACCUGUUUUAUGCUUUCCAAGGUGUUUGCUCCACAACCUGAUAAUCGGAUCCCAUUGGCUGAGCUAAUGUGACACGAUGGAGGAUUUGAAGUUCCCGGACUCCCGCAAGCAAAGCCACCCCAAGAGUUAAAGGGAUCAGAGCCAUCUCUUCAGUUCAAAGCCAAGCAGGCCAAUAGACUCGGGCCAUCGCCACCCACCCGCCAUGCCUGCAACCCCAGUUUUGUUGGGCUUGGAUUUCAGACAAAGAACUGAUGGGAGAUGAAGUCCCCGCCUCCCUCCCCCACCCCUACUCCUAUACAAAGGUCUCAUUACUCACCUACAACCUGGCACAACCCCACUGCUCCAGAGAAAGGCAUCUACUGCUCACAGGGAAGAAGGGCAGGGGGCUUCUUGGAGGAAGAUCUGAUCCUCGCACCCUAGCUCUUGGUAGCUGGUUCUCACUGAUGAGAGUCCAUUUGCCCCUCAGGGUAAGAAUCCAGGGAAAAACACACAUAAUGCUGAUCUUGAAGUCUGGGCUCUUCAUAAACAUACAAUAACUAGGUCCUGCUUUCCAAAAAGGGCCAGACCAGAUCACAUGCAGCGUUUUCCAAGCCAAUGGUUGAGAAAGCAACUCUUAAGCCCCUUCCCCCUCAUAAGAUCAGAGUUGGGAGAAGAAAGAGAAAGAGGUUUGGGGAGGACUUUUAGAGCCCUACCUGCAAAGGGGAAGUCAACCAGGUUGGUGGUGAAAGGCUUUAAGACUCAAAGGACCUUGCGAUGUCCCCAGUGUUUAGGGGCUGUGCUUGUGCGAGAAAUGGAGUGACUGACUAGCUAUGCCCAUCCAUGAAAGAAGGGUGGACAAGUGGAUGCCCUCCAAGUGUAUCUAGGCCAAGGAUGCCCAAGCC
Bos taurus (domestic cattle) is the source of this 975-nucleotide long non-coding RNA. The record is from Ensembl. Lineage: Eukaryota; Metazoa; Chordata; Mammalia; Artiodactyla; Bovidae.